UCGAUGUGGAUUGAAACUUUUACGUCCUAUCAAAUCCACAAAGUAAUUAAAUAAAAAAUCUAAUACAACAAUAAUUUUACUAUUGAUCAAAUUUAAAAUUAGACAAGACCUAAAUAAAUUAAUAGUUUUAAUAUGUAUUCAGGAAUGUUACGUUAAUAGGUAUUAAUUCAAUCAACAUAUGUAUCAAAACAAAAAGAAUUUGGAAGCCAUAUAACCAUUUCAACCUUGCUCCAUAUCUCUCUCAAAUAAAGCUAUGUAAAAAUUGGAGUAAUAUGUGCUACACUGCUCUUUCAUCUAAAGAUGUCAUUCAAAGUUUCAAAAUUUAAUACACCAAAAAGAAUACAAUAUCUUGAUAUAUUUAUAUCAAUAUAUGAAAAUUAAAUAAAAUUUUAGAGUUAAUAAAUACAAAAGUUGACACUUAAGAGCUUAGAUGAUUGUUGUCAAUGUCCAUCUCUAACUAAAUUUCAACUUAUUCAUUUACUAAUAGUACAACGUUUAUAAAUUUUAAAAUUAUAAAUUUAUUCAUUUACUAAUAGUACCACGUUUAUAAAUUUUAAAAUUAUAAAAUUUGUUGGAUUAUUCUUAUCAACCUUGCAACUCUGCUGAUGCAAUAACUAAACACAACCAAAGCAAGAACCCAAGAAGAACUGAUACCAACGCCAGACACAACAGAGCAAGAUAAAGAACUUUAAAGACUCAAGACAAAGAUAACGUGGUUCGGUACCAAGGUACCUACAUCCACGAGCAGGAACAACAGAGCUUAGAGUUUUAUUAGCAGAUGAACAAAGAAGGUUACAAUGGAGUCUCACAGAGAGCAAGAACUUGAUUACACUCACACAGAGAGUUUCUUCUCUCAACAAACUCACACAAUGUUCUUGAUAACCUCACACACGCUGAUCAGCCCUCUUUCUGAAGCUUCCUUUUUAUAGCUAUCAGUUAGUACAGCUGGUUAUAACAGCUAAUUAAACCACCUGGGGACCCACCCUUGCUGACUCAGCUUCCACCUCAGCGUGUAUAACCGAAUAUAACUAAUUUG
RNAcentral lists this long non-coding RNA (1036 nucleotides) under Citrus maxima (pomelo). RNAcentral's name for it is "long non-coding RNA (CMAX_LNC001215)". Lineage: Eukaryota; Viridiplantae; Streptophyta; Magnoliopsida; Sapindales; Rutaceae. The record is from RNAcentral.